This 468-nucleotide ribosomal RNA is filed under the name uncultured bacterium. Its description in RNAcentral is "partial 16S ribosomal RNA". It matches the Rfam family "Bacterial small subunit ribosomal RNA", at positions 28 to 507 of the family's 1533-position model. The record is from RNAcentral.
GACGAACGCUGGCGGCGUGCUUAACACAUGCAAGUCGAACGGAAAGGCCCUGCUUUUGUGGGGUGCUCGAGUGGCGAACGGGUGAGUAACACGUGAGUAACCUGCCCUUGACUUUGGGAUAACUUCAGGAAACUGGGGCUAAUACCGGCUAGGAGCUCCUGCUGUAUGGUGGGGGUUGGAAAGUUUCGGCGGUUGGGGAUGGACUCGCGGCUUAUCAGCUUGUUGGUGGGGUAGUGGCUUACCAAGGCUUUGACGGGUAGCCGGCCUGAGAGGGUGACCGGCCACAUUGGGACUAAGAUACGGCCCAGACUCCUACGGGAGGCAGCAGUGGAGAAUAUUGCACGAUGGGCGGAAGCCUGAUGCAGCGACGCCGCAUGCGGGAUGACGGCCUUCGGGUUGUAAACCGCUUUCGCCUGUGACGAAGCGUGAGUGACGGUAAUGGGUAAAGAAGCACCGGCUAACUACGUG